CUGGUUUGUUUUUAGCCUAGCAUAUUUAUUGCUAUCAGGAGUUGCUGCCUAUAUCUUUCAGCGCCUCGGCUGUAUUGGCUGAGACGUCGACUUCCAAAGAUGCUCGCAUUGUGGGGAUGCUGUGCAUUUGUGUUCCUUCAAAGAUGGACACAAACAACCCUGCAUCCGGCUCUGAAAACUAUCUCCAGGGGCUGUGGCGUGUGAUCCUGGAGGCUCUUGGUGGUUCCCACAGUGCCCAGUCAUCCCAGUAAUACCACUUAGGAUAUUUCAGCUGGUGACUUUUUUUUUUUUUUUUUUGAGAGAAAUGUUUGAGCAGAUUCCCCACAGUCUUGCUGUGUUUAGUCAAGAUUUAGGACUGUCUUUAACAUGAUGCUUUGUGAGAGUGGUUUGAGUGAGUUUUGGUUUGGUUUGGUUUUCCUGCAACCACAUCCAAAGGGGAAAAUGGCUUCACUGAGGUCAGGAACACCUGGCAGACACAGAGCAAAGAGGUUUGUAGACCAGCAGUGCUCCGGGGUCCGCGUACCAGCUCUCUCCCGCUCCGUAUGGCUGCAGCCCAGGAGCCUGGACCCCGGUGCCAGGUUUUCAGGCAGCGUCUCCCUGCUGAGCUCUGCCUGAGGCCGAGCAGGAGGGGAGGGAAGAGAUGCUGUUGUGCUGCUGGGAUGGAGCCUCCCUGGGAUGCAGCCUUGGUUCUCAGUCUCCCAUCCCUGUGUUUUCCCCAUUAAGCCAGACACUGGCACUGGAGGGCACCCACAGCCCGGUGCCCGGCUCCAUUCCUUCUCCUCCCUUGUGGCUGGUCUCUCCCGGGAGCAGUUUCAGGUCAUCACUAAAGCAGCCUGAGCACAGGGCUGGGGGAACCCCACGUCCCCCGCUCACCCCUCCUGCAUGCCAUCGCGUUGCUGCGGCCCUGGACCUGCCGGGAGAAGCGGAGCAAGCCCUGCCGAUGAUCGGCGAGGACCAGGAGCGAGCGGUGCUCGGCCACCGGCCACGCAGGCAGAGGUUACCCCUAGCCGGGCUGUCACAUCCACAUUGGAAGAUAAUUAGCAAUAAUGAACUUUGAGGCAAUGGUAACUGGAAUACCCAGGCUACACAUGGGACACUUAUGCAAUCAGGUUCCUCAACCAUCAGUCUCCUCCUUGGUCGGCUUCUCUUCCAGCACCUCCAUACCCGUUAUUUACAGCAAACCUACAUGUACAGUAUAUAUAGACCUUGUACGGCGUAACAGUAGUGAGUGGCUAUUGGAGUGGCAACACCCACUGAUUUCAAUGUACCCUUUAAUCUUAUUUAUUUGCUUCUAAUUUAUAUAUAUAUAUAAAAAUAUAUAUAAAAUUAUUUUGCUUAAAUUUCUAUGGUACACAAUAGAUGAAAAAUAAUGAAGACAGAAGUGUCUGUCUGAGUUUUUGUAGCACGAGUACGAUUUCCCUAGGCUCGUCCCGGAGGUAGGGUGUAGGGGUGAUGGUGACAGAGUAAUUCCCAAAGUAGAGAAGCAACAUUUUGCUCCAAAGCUGGAUGUGAUAGCAUUCAAAAGGUGUUACGAAGACAUUCCCUUCUAGAAACAAUGCAUUUGGGGCUUGAAGGCCAGAGGUCGGUAUCCCCCGCAUUCGGGACUGCGAUGCUCCAAACUCGGGUGGCAGAGCAGCCGGUCUGGUGUGUUCGCUCCUUCCAGACACUCCCCCGAGGUUUGCCCAUGGCUCGGUAAAGCCGGUGCAGCUCUUAAAUGAGCCAAACUUCUGCAUUAGCUGUUGGAUGCAGCCUGCAGAGAGCUGCUGGGUGUCCCGACCCCAGGGUGCGCAGAUCUCCUUUGGAGAUGGGCUUUCACCUACCCAGGAGAGCGGAGGAUGCUCCGUGCUAAACCUUGAUGCCUCUGGCUUGGUUUGUGGUGGCAACCGAAGUUGCCCGGGGGGUUUAUUCCACUCCGCAGCCUGAAUCGCUUUUGUAAAAUGGGUUGGAAAUUGAGCUCUUCACAAUGCCUUAUUUUCCUUGUUCGCUUUGUCAAUGCAAGUGUUUCCUGCGAACUUGGAGAGUGUGAGAAACUCCUGCGCAGGCUGUCCCCAAACCAGGAUCCGAGCGUUCCCGCAGCGGAGGAGAGUGGGGAGUGAGAUGUUGCUCGCUAAGUGCUGGCACCAUCGGUCCUGCUGGGCUCUGUCACCCCGAGAGGUCCUCUCUGAUGUACCCCCCAUCGCUGUGUCUGUCUAGACAUCGCCAUCACAGACCCUGCACAGCUCAGCGGAGCUCGGGGGAGUGUGAGGAGCACCCCCAAAACAAAUUCCCUGGGUUUUAGGCUAAUUUUAAAAAUUGCUCUACCUUCCAGAGAUCAUCUAGCAGCAACGCUUAAUCAGAGCACCAUCUCCUGGUCUUUCUAUUCACCCCCCACAGAGGGUUUUAAUGUCAUUCCACUGUAAAUGCCGUUGAAUGUAUUUCUUUUUGAACAAUAUAUUGUGAGUGAUCCCUCUUCUCCUACACGGUAAUAAAACUUGGAUUCGGGAGUUUUAAAAGCCGCAGUGCUG
Molecule: long non-coding RNA, 2504 nt
Filed under: Accipiter nisus (Eurasian sparrowhawk)
Lineage: Eukaryota; Metazoa; Chordata; Aves; Accipitriformes; Accipitridae
Description: lncRNA (ENSANIG00000013974.1)
Source: RNAcentral